GGCUACGAGGACGAACGCUGGCGGCGUGCUUAACACAUGCAAGUCGAACGGUAAGGCCCUUCGGGGUACACGAGUGGCGAACGGGUGAGUAACACGUGGGUGAUCUGCCCUGCACUUCGGGAUAAGCUUGGGAAACUGGGUCUAAUACCGGAUAGGACCACGGUCUGCAUGGAUUGUGGUGGAAAGCUUUUGCGGUGUGGGAUGGGCCCGCGGCCUAUCAGCUUGUUGGUGGGGUGAUGGCCUACCAAGGCGACGACGGGUAGCCGGCCUGAGAGGGUGUCCGGCCACACUGGGACUGAGAUACGGCCCAGACUCCUACGGGAGGCAGCAGUGGGGAAUAUUGCACAAUGGGCGCAAGCCUGAUGCAGCGACGCCGCGUGGGGGAUGACGGCCUUCGGGUUGUAAACCUCUUUCAGCAGGGACGAAGGGUGACUGACGGUACCUGUAGAAGAAGCACCGGCCAACUACGUG
RNAcentral lists this ribosomal RNA (471 nucleotides) under uncultured bacterium. Its description in RNAcentral is "bacterial SSU rRNA". It matches the Rfam family "Bacterial small subunit ribosomal RNA", at positions 26 to 507 of the family's 1533-position model. The record is from RNAcentral.